Molecule: ribosomal RNA, 634 nt
Filed under: Clostridioides difficile
Lineage: Bacteria; Bacillati; Bacillota; Clostridia; Peptostreptococcales; Peptostreptococcaceae
Description: bacterial SSU rRNA
Rfam family: Bacterial small subunit ribosomal RNA
Source: RNAcentral
CUAAUACGGGAUAAUAUAUUUGAGAGGCAUCUCUUGAAUAUCAAAGGUGAGCCAGUACAGGAUGGACCCGCGUCUGAUUAGCUAGUUGGUAAGGUAACGGCUUACCAAGGCGACGAUCAGUAGCCGACCUGAGAGGGUGAUCGGCCACAUUGGAACUGAGACACGGUCCAAACUCCUACGGGAGGCAGCAGUGGGGAAUAUUGCACAAUGGGCGAAAGCCUGAUGCAGCAACGCCGCGUGAGUGAUGAAGGCCUUCGGGUCGUAAAACUCUGUCCUCAAGGAAGAUAAUGACGGUACUUGAGGAGGAAGCCCCGGCUAACUACGUGCCAGCAGCCGCGGUAAUACGUAGGGGGCUAGCGUUAUCCGGAUUUACUGGGCGUAAAGGGUGCGUAGGCGGUCUUUCAAGUCAGGAGUGAAAGGCUACGGCUCAACCGUAGUAAGCUCUUGAAACUGGGAGACUUGAGUGCAGGAGAGGAGAGUGGAAUUCCUAGUGUAGCGGUGAAAUGCGUAGAUAUUAGGAGGAACACCAGUUGCGAAGGCGGCUCUCUGGACUGUAACUGACGCUGAGGCACGAAAGCGUGGGGAGCAAACAGGAUUAGAUACCCUGGUAGUCCACGCUGUAAACGAUGAGUAC